GGGUCAAUGAUGACAACAGAAUGUCAAGAACAUGAUGACAUAAAAAUCAUGCUCAAUAGAAUUAGGCUGAGGCCC
Small nucleolar RNA from Rattus norvegicus (Norway rat), 75 nucleotides. Ensembl annotates it as small nucleolar RNA SNORD115. Lineage: Eukaryota; Metazoa; Chordata; Mammalia; Rodentia; Muridae. The record is from Ensembl.